Molecule: signal recognition particle RNA, 275 nt
Rfam family: Archaeal signal recognition particle RNA
UCUGGGGCUAGGCUGGGCGGUUAGCGGUCGCCUGUUUCCGGAAAUCCGCUUAUGCCGGAGCCGAAGCCUUGGGAGCGUGAUACAUGCGGCAGCUAAGGCUUAUGCCUUAGGCAAAGAAAGGCUGCCCUGAGAGGCAGUCCAUCAAAAUGAACCCGCCAGGCCCGGAAGGGAGCAACGGUAGUUUUGGUGGGCGUGCGCUCUUAGGAUCCAGCCUGGAGCCGAGGGCAUAAGUUCAGGCUGCAGGCGUGUAUUGCCAUCUCAAGGCGCGCCCCAUU